GCCUAAAGCGUCCGUAGCCGGCUCUGUAAGUUUUCGGUUAAAUCCAUAUGCUCAACAUAUGGGCCGCCGGAAAUACUGUAAAGCUAGGGAGUGGGAGAGGUAGACGGUACUCCGUAGGAAGGGGUAAAAUCCUUUGAUCUAUGGAUGACCACCUGUGGCGAAGGCGGUCUACCAGAACACGUCCGACGGUGAGGGAUGAAAGCUGGGGGAGCAAACCGGAUUAGAUACCCGGGUAGUCCCAGCUGUAAACUAUGCAAACUCAGUGAUGCAUUGGCUUGUGGCCAGUGCAGUGCCGCAGAGAAGUCGUUAAGUUUGCCGCCUGGGAAGUACGUACGCAAGUAUGAAACUUAAAGGAAUUGGCGGGGGAGCACCACAAGGGGUGAAGCCUGCGGUUCAAUUGGAGUCAACGCCAGAAAUCUUACCCGGAGAGACAGCAGAAUGAAGGUCAAGCUGAAGACUUUACCAGACAAGCUGAGAAGUGGUGCAUGGCCGUCGCCAGCUCGUGCCGUGAGGUGUCCUGUUAAGUCAGGUAACGAGCGAGAUCCCUGCCUCUAGUUGCCACCAUUACUCUCAGGAGUAGUGGGGCGAAUUAGCGGGACUGCCGCAGUUAAUGCGGAGGAAGGAGGGGGCCACGGCAGGUCAGUAUGCCCCGAA
RNAcentral lists this ribosomal RNA (654 nucleotides) under uncultured archaeon. RNAcentral's name for it is "bacterial SSU rRNA". It matches the Rfam family "Archaeal small subunit ribosomal RNA", at positions 508 to 1160 of the family's 1478-position model. The record is from RNAcentral.